AAAGGAUUUGGGGUCAGAAUAGCCAGAAAAAACAUGCUGGCUUGCAUACUGCAAAAUCUGACGAGAUGCAGUAGGACAUCCUGGUAUUUUUGGCAUACUGCAUUUGACAUAUUGUGCAUAGGUACAUACU
Long non-coding RNA from Sander lucioperca (pikeperch), 130 nucleotides. RefSeq lists it as uncharacterized. NCBI's taxonomy places the organism in Eukaryota, Metazoa, Chordata, Actinopteri, Perciformes, Percidae. The record is from RefSeq and is a predicted model, not a curated record. The transcript is spliced from 3 exons.